UUUGUCUUCCGGCGGGUGUUUGGGCAGAUGGAGAUGGUCAUUGGUCAACGACCGGCGACGAAUGGUGACCGGCGAACGUUGACGGAUGGCGGUGACAUAGACGUAAACCCACGGCCGACCCAUUUCUUCUCCCUUCUUCGUUCUUCCUACGGCUGGCUGCUUGGGUUCAUGACUUUUUUGGGCAGCGACGGCGGACGGCGACCGGCGGAUGGCAAUGGUGACAGAGGCGACGGACGGUGGUUGGUCGACGUUCGUCGUUCGGUUUCUUCCUCGUACAGUUGUUUGGGUUCAUCUUCCAUCAAAUUUUGAUGACUUGGUUUUCUUUACCUGUCUAUGCUAGGUGGUUUUGACACAUGCAUACAUGACUCUAAAAAGAGGGAUGGACAUUUGUGGUACAAACAGUUCACAUGCAAGAAGCAGGAUUCAAGAAGCAACGAAGAGAUGAGAAUAGGGAACAUGUUAACAUCUUGCAAGGCAAGCAUGACCAUUGAAAUAAACAGCAACACAACCAAGUGGCUUGUGCAUAAUAUUCAAUAUGCACACAAUCACUGCCUACAUGCCUGGUGUUGCACCUGCCUACAGUCCAAGAGUGGCGUGAUCGAGCACCAGAGGUAGGAUGGCGAUGAUACGAUGCUCAAUGGCCUAUCAGCGUUGGUUGGAGGGAGAUAGUUCUCGUUUUAGAGAGUAAGCGAUUGGGGAGAGUGGAUAAUCGUUGUAUGACCAUCAAAAUGGGGAAGGGAUGCCAGAGGUUGUGAUGGGCAGUUGGAGGUCCAUCGAUGUGAUCCCUUGACAUCAAAAUUCAGGCUCUUUUCGACAGAGGGAAAAGAAGGUCUUACUACCAGGGUUGGUCAGAGGGAGGAGAGCUUGACAUUGGGCCUUCAUUUUUUUUUAUUUAAAGCUGGUUCAUCCAAUUUCAACAGAUCGGACGGCAAUCCGACAUCAUAACGGCUAUGAAAGUUAACUUUCGUAAUGAGAAAGUUUAUAUAUAUAUAUAUAUAUAAGAAAUUAAAAUCAUCCGGCUA
Nymphaea colorata (pocket water lily) is the source of this 1022-nucleotide long non-coding RNA. RefSeq lists it as uncharacterized. Lineage: Eukaryota; Viridiplantae; Streptophyta; Magnoliopsida; Nymphaeales; Nymphaeaceae. The record is from RefSeq and is a predicted model, not a curated record. The transcript is spliced from 2 exons.